RNAcentral lists this ribosomal RNA (270 nucleotides) under uncultured archaeon. RNAcentral describes it as "partial 16S ribosomal RNA". It matches the Rfam family "Archaeal small subunit ribosomal RNA", at positions 477 to 747 of the family's 1478-position model. The record is from RNAcentral.
CUGCAGCUCAAGUGGUGACCGUUAUUAUUGGGCCUAAAACGUCCGUAGCCUGUCUAUUAAAUGCCUGGGUAAAUCGUGUAGCUUAACUAUACGAAUUCCGGGUAGACUGAUAGGCUUGAGACCGGGAGAGGCUAGAGGUACUCCUGGGGUAGAGGUGAAAUUCUGUAAUCCUGGGGGGACCACCAGUGGCGAAGGCGUCUAGCUAGAACGGGUCUGACGGUGAGGGACGAAAGCUGGGGGCACGAACCGGAUUAGAUACCCGAGUAGUCC